Molecule: ribozyme, 73 nt
Filed under: unclassified sequences
Description: HDV ribozyme from F. prausnitzii
Rfam family: HDV ribozyme from F. prausnitzii
Source: RNAcentral
GCUGCUCGAAAUUACAUACCUCUUCGUGGUGAGCAGUAGGCAACGUAAUAUCUAUUACGGCAGAAAUGUAUUA